GACGAACGCUGGCGGCGUGCUUAACACAUGCAAGUCGAACGGAAAGGCCAUGCUUUUGUGGGGUGCUCGUGUGGCGCACGGGUGAGUAACACGUGAGUAAACUGCCCUUGUCCUUGGGAUAACUUCAGGAAACUGGGGCUCAUACCGCAUAGGAGCUCCUGAAGCAUGGUGGGGGUUGGAAAGUUUCGGCGGUUGUGGAUGGACUCGAGGCUUAUCAGCUUGAUGGUGGGGUAGUGGCUUACCAAGGCUUUGACGGGUAGCCGGCCUGAGAGGGUGACCGGCGACAUUGGGACUGAGAUACGCCCCAGACUCCUACGUGCGGCAGCAGUGGGGAAUAUUGCACAAUGGGCCGAAGCCUGAUGCAGCAACGCCGCGUGCGGGAUGACCUCCUUCGGGUUGUAAACCGCUUUCGCCUGUGACGAAGCGUGAGUGACGGUAAUGGGUAAAGAAGCACCGGCUAACUACGUG
RNAcentral lists this ribosomal RNA (468 nucleotides) under uncultured bacterium. RNAcentral describes it as "partial 16S ribosomal RNA". It matches the Rfam family "Bacterial small subunit ribosomal RNA", at positions 28 to 507 of the family's 1533-position model. The record is from RNAcentral.